Long non-coding RNA from Oreochromis aureus, 231 nucleotides. RefSeq lists it as uncharacterized. Lineage: Eukaryota; Metazoa; Chordata; Actinopteri; Cichliformes; Cichlidae. The transcript is spliced from 3 exons. The record is from RefSeq and is a predicted model, not a curated record.
UAAUGACGGAGAGCAAGCAGCGCUUGGUGGAGGAUGGAGAGAGAUGGCGCGGUGGCGCUCUUUAAACUGGCGUCAGCCAGAGCUCACUUCACUGACUCCAGCAGAUUCAAAAUGCUGCCGUCUGGAUUCUAAGUGGCACCAAGGAGUAUGAACACGUCAUUCCAGCGCUGAGCACCAAAUCACAACAGCAAUCAGCUCUGCCCCCACCCCAAACCCUCUUGGCAACAGUGG